Molecule: ribosomal RNA, 301 nt
Filed under: uncultured bacterium
Lineage: Bacteria
Description: partial 16S ribosomal RNA
Rfam family: Bacterial small subunit ribosomal RNA
Source: RNAcentral
CAGUCGCCACGGGAAUACGAAGGGUGCAAGCGUUACUCGGAAUUACUGGGCGUAAAGCGUGCGUAGGUGGUGGUUUAAGUCCGUUGUGAAAGCCCUGGGCUCAACCUGGGAAUUGCAGUGGAUACUGGAUCACUAGAGUGUGGUAGAGGAUAGUGGAAUUUCCGGUGUAGCAGUGAAAUGCGUAGAGAUCGGAAGGAACAUCUGUGGCGAAGGCGACUAUCUGGGCCAACACUGACACUGAGGCACGAAAGCGUGGGGAGCAAACAGGAUUAGAUACCCCUGUAGUCCCUGUCUCUUAUAC